CAACCGCAAAAGAAGCAGAGGGGGCUUAGUGGUGGGGUGACUGCGUACCUUUUGUAUAAUGGGUCAGCGACUUAUAUUCUGUAGCAAGGUUAACCGAAUAGGGGAGCCGGAGGGAAACCGAGUCUUAAUUGGGCGUUAAGUUGCAGGGUAUAGACCCGAAACCCGGUGAUCUAGCCAUGGGCAGGUUGAAGGUUGGGUAACACUAACUGGAGGACCGAACCGACUAAUGUUGAAAAAUUAGCGGAUGACCUGUGGCUGGGGGUGAAAGGCCAAUCAAACCGGGAGAUAGCUGGUUCUCCCCGAAAGCUAUUUAGGUAGCGCCUCGUGAAUUCAUCUCCGGGGGUAGAGCACUGUUUCGGCUAGGGGGCCAUCCCGGCUUACCAACCCGAUGCAAACUGCGAAUACCGGAGAAUGUUAUCACGGGAGACACACGGCGGGUGCUAACGUCCGUCGUGAAGAGGGAAACAACCCAGACCGCCAGCUAAGGUCCCAAAGUCAUGGUUAAGUGGGAAACGAUGUGGGAAGGCCCAGACAGCCAGGAUGUUGGCUUAGAAGCAGCCAUCAUUUAAAGAAAGCGUAAUAGCUCACUGGUCGAGUCGGCCUGCGCGGAAGAUGUAACGGGGCUAAACCAUGCACCGAAGCUGCGGCAGCGACGCUGAUGCGUUGUUGGGUAGGGGAGCGUUCUGUAAGCCUGCGAAGGUGGCCUGUGAGGGUUGCUGGAGGUAUCAGAAGUGCGAAUGCUGACAUAAGUAACGAUAAAGCGGGUGAAAAGCCCGCUCGCCGGAAGACCAAGGGUUCCUGUCCAACGUUAAUCGGGGCAGGGUGAGUCGACCCCUAAGGCGAGGCCGAAAGGCGUAGUCGAUGGGAAACGGGUUAAUAUUCCCGUACUUGGUGUUACUGCGAAGGGGGGACGGAGAAGGCUAUGUUGGCCGGGCGACGGUUGUCCCGGUUUAAGCGUGUAGGUGUGUGUUCCAGGUAAAUCCGGUUCACUUUAACACUGAGGCGUGAUGACGAGGCACUACGGUGCUGAAGCAACAAAUGCCCUGCUUCCAGGAAAAGCCUCUAAGCAUCAGGUAACAUCAAAUCGUACCCCAAACCGACACAGGUGGUCAGGUAGAGAAUACCAAGGCGCUUGAGAGAACUCGGGUGAAGGAACUAGGCAAAAUGGUGCCGUAACUUCGGGAGAAGGCACGCUGACACGUAGGUGAAGUGAUUUACUCAUGGAGCUGAAGUCAGUCGAAGAUACCAGCUGGCUGCAACUGUUUAUUAAAAACACAGCACUGUGCAAACACGAAAGUGGACGUAUACGGUGUGACGCCUGCCCGGUGCCGGAAGGUUAAUUGAUGGGGUCAGCGCAAGCGAAGCUCCUGAUCGAAGCCCCGGUAAACGGCGGCCGUAACUAUAACGGUCCUAAGGUAGCGAAAUUCCUUGUCGGGUAAGUUCCGACCUGCACGAAUGGCGUAAUGAUGGCCAGGCUGUCUCCACCCGAGACUCAGUGAAAUUGAACUCGCUGUGAAGAUGCAGUGUACCCGCGGCAAGACGGAAAGACCCCGUGAACCUUUACUAUAGCUUGACACUGAACAUUGAGCCUUGAUGUGUAG
This 1601-nucleotide ribosomal RNA is filed under the name Salmonella enterica. Its description in RNAcentral is "partial 23S ribosomal RNA". It matches the Rfam family "Bacterial large subunit ribosomal RNA", at positions 553 to 2141 of the family's 2925-position model. Lineage: Bacteria; Pseudomonadati; Pseudomonadota; Gammaproteobacteria; Enterobacterales; Enterobacteriaceae. The record is from RNAcentral.